UGUCUCCCUCUGUUAUGAGUACAACAAAAAUAAUUCUGAAGGAACCACAGAUUAUGAAAGUUCGAGAUCUGUGAUCUAUCAAAAAACUAGUAGAACUAGCAUUUCAUAACAUUCGCUCCGUAUUGGAAGAGAAGAUUGAAGUUUUUGUUAGAGCAAAAAAGCUGAAUUUGUGGUGGAUCAACAAUGGAUUCCCCGCGAGUAGGACCGGAGAGAGAAAAGGGGUAGUCAACAACGUCUUCUACUCCUCUUGCUGCUGUCGCCAGCUUCUGGAAAGACUUUGAUUUGGAGAAAGAAAGGAGUACACUGGAUGAACAAGGUCUUAGGAUAGCUGAAAAUCAGGAGAACAGUCAGAAGAACCGACGAAAACUUGCAGAGAGCACUCGAGAUUUUAGAAAAGCUUCAAAUGAAGACAAGUUCAGCUUGUUCAACUCUUUGCUCAAGGGAUACCAAGAAGAGGUUGACAAUCUCACCAAGAGAGCCAAGUACGGGGAAAAUGCUUUUCUUAACAUUUACCAGAAAUUAUAUGAGGCCCCAGAUCCUUAUCCGGUCAUUGCUUCAAUUGCUUUGUAGGUAAGUCUUAAUUUUAAUCCGAAAAGGAAUUUAGAAUGUCUGAAAGUAGUAACUUGUCCAAGUGGAGCUGUCAUUGCAGUGAAAUUGCCCACUUUCACUUCAACAACAAUCCUUAAUCCAGGAAGAAGAUUCUAUAAGUGUCCUAAACGUGAUUUCGGACAGGUUGAUUCUUGUGGGUAUUGGGAGUGGCACGACGAAGUACUCCCGGAUAGAGCGUUGGUGGUAAUAAGCAAUAUUAAGGCUCAGUUGGACGUGGCUACAGUUAAAGUCAGUAAUUUGAGUUCGGCAUUGGAUGCUGUUAAGAUUGAAAGAGUCAACUUAAAGGAAAAGGUGAAUAUUAUGGAGGCUAUAAACAAUUAUCAAGUGAUCAAGUCAAGAGACUUAGAAGAGAAAUUGAGGAAGAUGAAGAUGUGUUUUCUGGCUUCUUGUGCAUUGUUUGUUGGAUUUGUGGCCGCAUUGUUGAUGAAGUAACGUAGUUAGUUUGUAUCAAGUCUGAAGUCUUAGUACUGUUGCUUGAUUGAAUUUUCUUUCUCUUGUUAAUGUAGUUUGUCUUGCAUAUUAGGUUGUAUUAUGUUAUUUGUAAUGAAAUUGUAAGUUAGUCUACUGAUUUCAUCUCUU
Molecule: non-coding RNA, 1188 nt
Organism: Nicotiana tabacum (common tobacco)
Lineage: Eukaryota; Viridiplantae; Streptophyta; Magnoliopsida; Solanales; Solanaceae
Source: RefSeq, a predicted model, not a curated record